CACCAUUUGUCUACCACCAGCACUCACAUCUACUUGUCAAUGGCUGAUCUCCAAAGCUAAGCUGGGCUGGGCCUGAUUAGUACUUGGAUGGGAGACUGCUGGGAAUACCAGGUGCCACAGUGGGGC
This 126-nucleotide ribosomal RNA is filed under the name Periophthalmus magnuspinnatus. The record is from RNAcentral. Lineage: Eukaryota; Metazoa; Chordata; Actinopteri; Gobiiformes; Gobiidae.